GCAGUCGAGGGGCAGCAUGGUCUUAGCUUGCUAAGGCCGAUGGCGACCGGCGCACGGGUGAGUAACACGUAUCCAACCUGCCGUCUACUCUUGGACAGCCUUCUGAAAGGAAGAUUAAUACAAGAUGGCAUCAUGAGUCCGCAUGUUCACAUGAUUAAAGGUAUUCCGGUAGACGAUGGGGAUGCGUUCCAUUAGAUAGUAGGCGGGGUAACGGCCCACCUAGUCUUCGAUGGAUAGGGGUUCUGAGAGGAAGGUCCCCCACAUUGGAACUGAGACACGGUCCAAACUCCUACGGGAGGCAGCAGUGAGGAAUAUUGGUCAAUGGGCGAGAGCCUGAACCAGCCAAGUAGCGUGAAGGAUGACUGCCCUAUGGGUUGUAAACUUCUUUUAUAAAGGAAUAAAGUCGGGUAUGGAUACCCGUUUGCAUGUACUUUAUGAAUAAGGAUCGGCUAACUCCGUGCCAGCAGCCGCGGUAAUACGGAGGAUCCGAGCGUUAUCCGGAUUUAUUGGGUUUAAAGGGAGCGUAGAUGGAUGUUUAAGUCAGUUGUGAAAGUUUGCGGCUCAACCGUAAAAUUGCAGUUGAUACUGGAUAUCUUGAGUGCAGUUGAGGCAGGCGGAAUUCGUGGUGUAGCGGUGAAAUGCUUAGAUAUCACGAAGAACUCCGAUUGCGAAGGCAGCCUGCUAAGCUGCAACUGA
Molecule: ribosomal RNA, 696 nt
Filed under: Bacteroides sp. HGBC32
Lineage: Bacteria; Pseudomonadati; Bacteroidota; Bacteroidia; Bacteroidales; Bacteroidaceae
Description: bacterial SSU rRNA
Rfam family: Bacterial small subunit ribosomal RNA
Source: RNAcentral